This 1051-nucleotide long non-coding RNA is filed under the name Coturnix japonica (Japanese quail). Its description in RNAcentral is "lncRNA (ENSCJPG00005019671.1)". Lineage: Eukaryota; Metazoa; Chordata; Aves; Galliformes; Phasianidae. The record is from RNAcentral.
GUAAUUCUAAAUCAGGUCUAUGAAAUCUAGAUUUGCAUUUGUCUACUGUGAAAGGAAAUUAGAUGUAAUGAUUUCUUGAAGUUGUUUGACAAAGUCAAGAUUUCCAGGACUUUGUUGCUGUUACUGUAUACAGUAGUUCACAAAAGAAUAUCAACAGAGGAUGGACAAGUUUUUGUAAAACCUUGUUUCUUACAUUUCUCUAGGGUUUCUGACUCAGAGCUGUAAAAACCCAAGAAUAAAGUAGUAAACACACAAUGAUGCAUCUGUGACCAUUUGCUCCCCCUUUUGAUCUGUUUGAUUUCCUUCCACAAAACAGUUUAUUCCCCUUUGGUCCUGGUCAAAGAUUUGAUCAUUGCCUUCACUUCUCUAGGUACUUCUCUAACCUUUUGCUUGCAGGAGGAAUUAUCACACUGGUCCUCCGUGCUCUGUUUUUCAUAUGCAGUGUCAUAGGCUACUCUUUUCUGCAUGGUAGGGAAAGGCUGUGGAAAUACAGCCCUCAAUCAGCUUCUACCUUUCUUCUCCCCUUAUUUCCAAAAUUUAAAUUUUGUCCCACAUUGAAUAGUCUCUUAUUUUUCAAAAAGAAUGACAAAGGCCAGAGAGGGAUAACUUUUGCGCUGAAUGCCUAUCAAAAAUCCCUGCUGUGUUUCAGGCCCCUUGCAACUUCCUUUUACCCAAUAUGUGUCAUCCAGCAAUGGGUACAAGUCAUUAAGGAGGCAGAGAGGAUUGCUGAAGUGAUGUACCUAUUCAGAGCAUUGCCUCAAGCAACCCCAGCCUGUAGCUGCUGGCUAGUUCUGAAGUCUGAGUUCAGCUUUGGCCCCAAGGGUUACAACACCUUGUUUUCCAUCACAAUGCAAAUAGCAGAUGCAAUGGGACAUCCACUUGCCAGAGUGGGUUCUAGAGCUGAAAUUGUCCCAGGGAUUCACAGUGAAACACACUCAGACAGCUGCUGCUUAAAAGCACAAGAUUACGCUUUGCAGUGUGGAAGAACAACUAUUAAAAUAUGAGAUAUCCAAACUAGGAUUUAUAGACAUCAAUUUAUUUAACAUGCACG